Molecule: transfer RNA, 76 nt
Filed under: Actinomycetota bacterium
Lineage: Bacteria; Bacillati; Actinomycetota
Description: Actinobacteria bacterium (sediment metagenome) tRNA-His
Rfam family: tRNA
About the family: Transfer RNA (tRNA) molecules are approximately 80 nucleotides in length. Their secondary structure includes four short double-helical elements and three loops (D, anti-codon, and T loops).
Source: RNAcentral
GUGAUCGUAGCUCAAUUGGUCAGAGCGUCGGACUGUGGCUCCGAAGGCUGAGGGUUCAAGUCCCUUCGAUCACCCA